This 573-nucleotide ribosomal RNA is filed under the name uncultured bacterium. Its description in RNAcentral is "bacterial SSU rRNA". It matches the Rfam family "Bacterial small subunit ribosomal RNA", at positions 69 to 638 of the family's 1533-position model. The record is from RNAcentral.
AUGAGUGGAGCUUGCUCCAUGAUUCAGCGGCGGACGGGUGAGUAAUGCCUAGGAAUCUGCCUGAUAGUGGGGGACAACGUUUCGAAAGGAACGCUAAAACCGCAUACGUCCUACGGGAGAAAGCAGGGGACCUUCGGGCCUUGCGCUAUCAGAUGAGCCUAGGUCGGAUUAGCUAGUAGGUGAGGUAAUGGCUCACCUAGGCGACGAUCCGUAACUGGUCUGAGAGGAUGAUCAGUCACACUGGAACUGAGACACGGUCCAGACUCCUACGGGAGGCAGCAGUGGGGAAUAUUGGACAAUGGGCGAAAGCCUGAUCCAGCCAUGCCGCGUGUGUGAAGAAGGUCUUCGGAUUGUAAAGCACUUUAAGUUGGGAGGAAGGGCAGUAAGUUAAUACCUUGCUGUUUUGACGUUACCAACAGAAUAAGCACCGGCUAACUUCGUGCCAGCAGCCGCGGUAAUACGAAGGGUGCAAGCGUUAAUCGGAAUUACUGGGCGUAAAGCGCGCGUAGGUGGUUCAGCAAGUUGGAGGUGAAAUCCCCGGGCUCAACCUGGGAACUGCCUCCAAAACUACUC